This 254-nucleotide ribosomal RNA is filed under the name uncultured bacterium. RNAcentral's name for it is "partial 16S ribosomal RNA". It matches the Rfam family "Bacterial small subunit ribosomal RNA", at positions 524 to 776 of the family's 1533-position model. The record is from RNAcentral.
UACGUAGGGUCCAAGCGUUCUCCGGAAUCACUGGGCGUAAAUCGUGCUUCGGUUGCUUGUUCAGUGCGAUGCGCAAUCUUGUGGCUCAACCAUAUAGACUGUAUCGCAUACUGGCAAUCUAGAGGACAUGAGAGGCAAGUAGAAUUACUGGUGUAGCAGUGAAAUGCGUAGAUAUCAGUAGGAAUACCAAUGGCGAAGGCAGCUUGCUGGCAUGUAUCUGACGCUAAGGCACGAAAGCGUGGGGAGCGAACAGG